Etheostoma spectabile (orangethroat darter) is the source of this 103-nucleotide long non-coding RNA. RefSeq lists it as uncharacterized. The record is from RefSeq and is a predicted model, not a curated record. The transcript has 3 exons. Lineage: Eukaryota; Metazoa; Chordata; Actinopteri; Perciformes; Percidae.
CAAACAUAUUUAAAUGACAUAAAGUAGAACAUCCUCACAUUUUAGACGCUGGAACCAGCAAAUGUUUGGCGAUGUUUUUUUGCUUAGGCAAUGACACAAACAU